GUGAGGCUUCCUAUUGGUCAGUGGGCGGGGCCAUAGCCAGCGGAGCGGGGGGCUCAGAGGCACGCGCGGAGCGGGAGAGAGCGGCAUGGAGCUGCGCGGGGGGGCGGCGCCGGGCGCGAGGACCGAUCCAGAGAAGAGGAAAAAGAAGCGCAAAAAGGACAAGAAGCAGAAACCGGUGCCACGGACCCCAACCCCCUCUGAGGAAGCAUCACUGGAGCCCCCCC
Molecule: long non-coding RNA, 224 nt
Organism: Pezoporus occidentalis (night parrot)
Lineage: Eukaryota; Metazoa; Chordata; Aves; Psittaciformes; Psittacidae
Exons: 3
Source: RefSeq, a predicted model, not a curated record